AUACGUAGGUGACAAGCGUUAUCCGGAUUUACUGGGCGUAAAGGGCGUGUAGGCGGUCUUGCAAGUCAGAAGUGAAAUUCCUGAGCUCAACUCGGGCGCUGCUUCUGAAACUGCAGGACUUGAGUGCUGGAGGGGAUAGCGGAAUUCCUAGUGGAGCGGUAAAAUGCGCAGAUAUUAGGAAGAACACCGGUGGCGAAGGCGGCUAUCUGGGCAGUAACAGACACUGAGACGCGAAAUCGUGGGGAGCAAACAGGAUGAGUUACCCGGGUGGUCCACGCCGUAAACGAUGAAUACUAGGUGUAGGGGGUAUCGACUCCCUCUGUGCCGCAGUUAACACAAAAAGUAUUCCGCCUGGGGAGUACGGCCGCAAGGUUGAAACUCAAAUGAAUUGACGGGU
RNAcentral lists this ribosomal RNA (397 nucleotides) under uncultured bacterium. RNAcentral describes it as "partial 16S ribosomal RNA". It matches the Rfam family "Bacterial small subunit ribosomal RNA", at positions 523 to 918 of the family's 1533-position model. The record is from RNAcentral.